Pyrus x bretschneideri (Chinese white pear) is the source of this 162-nucleotide long non-coding RNA. RefSeq lists it as uncharacterized. The transcript has 3 exons. NCBI's taxonomy places the organism in Eukaryota, Viridiplantae, Streptophyta, Magnoliopsida, Rosales, Rosaceae. The record is from RefSeq and is a predicted model, not a curated record.
UCUCUCUCGUUCUCCAGGUUUCUCCAGGUGACACAUUAGAAGAUCCCAGGAUUGAAGAUCGCAGCCAAGAAGUCAGAGGGUUUAUAUUCUCCAAAAUUCUGUAGUUGGUAUCGAUGGCAAAGAAGGGGGCAUCUUCGUCAAAUCCUGUAGCUACAUGGAAUG